UUGGGGGGGGCACUUGCAAAAGCUUUUUGGGAAGUUUGGGUGGGGCGGGCACGACUACUAAAACAUAAGGUGGAGGUCCAAAGGUAAGUUCGAGGGGGAUGGAAACAUUCCGAGAUAUAAAGGGCAAAAGCUUGCCUUAGUUAUUAAUGUAAAUUAAUAAUACGGAAACAGGGGCCUAGAGAUCCUCUAUGAAACUAAGCAUAGAGGUGACGGAAAAGUUACCACAGGGAUAACUGGCUUGUGGCGGCCGAGCGUCCAUAGCGACGCCGCUUUUUGAUUCUUCGAUGUCGGCUCUUCCGAGCAUGGUGGAGUAUCAGCCACCAAGUGUGUGAUUGUUCACCAACUAACAGGGAACGUGAGCUGGGUUUAGACCGUCGCGAGACAGGUUAGUUUUACCCUACUGCAUCGCGUCCGAGAGUAGGUCGGGGCAGUACGAGAGGAAGUGCCGAUCAGAACCGCUGGUGAUACUUUCGUCUGUUAAGGCGCGAAGUGUAGCUACGUUCUUCUUAUAAUAGCUGAAAGCCUCUAAGCUAGAAUGAGUACUUAAGGACGCAAAGAUAUGAAGACUACAUAUGUAAGGAUGAGGGUUGUACGAUAUAAGCUUCUGCGAGUAUUUCAGACCACUUAUUUCCUUUUUUAGAACAUGCUUGCUCGGAUACAUACAGGAAUUCCGGGGAAAGGAAAAAUUUAUUUUUU
Enterocytozoon bieneusi H348 is the source of this 696-nucleotide ribosomal RNA. It matches the Rfam family "Eukaryotic large subunit ribosomal RNA", at positions 2586 to 3401 of the family's 3401-position model. Lineage: Eukaryota; Fungi; Microsporidia; Enterocytozoonidae. The record is from Rfam.